RNAcentral lists this long non-coding RNA (729 nucleotides) under Hordeum vulgare. Its description in RNAcentral is "long non-coding RNA (HVUL_LNC014080)". The record is from RNAcentral. Lineage: Eukaryota; Viridiplantae; Streptophyta; Magnoliopsida; Poales; Poaceae.
CUGCAUUCAUCGGUGACGUGCCCUAAGCAAAGCUCGUUGUCGCCUCUGGGUCUCCAUCUUCGUGGAGAAAACUUGUUUAAGACCAGGAGCUUAUAGAACUACAUCAACAUAUUUAUGUAUAACAAUGUCAAAAAGGUGCUUUUUUAUUUAUGCAGUGUCACAUUUAUACCUUCAACCAGAAAAUUCUAAAUGCUUCCGCCAUAGGUACAUCUUGGACGUGUGGAUCUCAUCUUCCCAGUUACUUGUUUUGUGCGCGAGCUUGUUGGUUACACUUAUCAUAAAUAUUACCUAUGGAGGAGGAUCAUCAUAUGGAUUGGUUGGUCAUUCAUAUCCAUGGUAUGUUCAUAUCCUCCCUAUAGUUGUCCCCAAAUUUAUUUUAAAAGGCAUACAUUAUUUUCGCUAAUUUGUGGUGGUCUGGUUUUGUUGAGCAUGAAUUCCUGGCGAGCAUCAUUCAUAUUUCUGGUAUUCUGUCCAAAAGAUGCUUUCACCAAUCAAAUAUAAAUGCUUUCGUCGUAGGUACAUCUUGGACCUGGAUAAACGACUAUGGAUCCCGUCUUUCGUUUUAUUUGUUUAUUCCGUGGGCGUGCUUGUACUCCUCGAACGCAUUUCCAUAAAUACUUCACCUGAGGAAGCUGUUAUUAGUGCUGCGAAGUUUUCCAUGAGAACAUCAAAGGAGGGCACUGAAAUCGUGUUGGGUUCUUGUACAUUAUGUGUGCCAAAAUCUUCCAG